Molecule: ribosomal RNA, 270 nt
Filed under: uncultured prokaryote
Description: partial 16S ribosomal RNA
Rfam family: Bacterial small subunit ribosomal RNA
Source: RNAcentral
UACGGAGGAUCCGAGCGUUAUCCGGAUUUAUUGGGUUUAAAGGGUGCGUAGGUGGAUUGGUAAGUCAGUGGUGAAAGUUUGCAGCUUAACUGUAAAAUUGCCGUUGAAACUGCCGGUCUUGAGUGCAAAUGAGGUAGGCGGAAUGCGUCGUGUAGCGGUGAAAUGCUUAGAUAUGACGCAGAACUCCGAUUGCGAAGGCAGCUUACUGGGAUGCAACUGACGCUGAGGCACGAAAGCGUGGGUAUCAAACAGGGGUUAGAUACCCCGGUA